RNAcentral lists this unclassified non-coding RNA (307 nucleotides) under Hevea brasiliensis (rubber tree). The record is from RNAcentral. Lineage: Eukaryota; Viridiplantae; Streptophyta; Magnoliopsida; Malpighiales; Euphorbiaceae.
CACUUUUACAAGGCAUUCAACAACCUGUAAACAGAACAUAAAUUAAAAAAAAAAAUUGUUUUCAUAGCGGAAGAGGGGGAAGUCACUAUGUUAUUAGUUUGUUGCGACUUUUGAGCACACAUUUGUAGAUGUCCACCCAAUGGUGCAAUCAGAUCACCUUAGGUGUUACUCCAUCCGUCUCACAAAGAUACAGUCAAAAUAAUAAAUUUUAUAGUCAAAAUAAUAAAUUUUUUCACAUGGAUUAAGAAAUGUAGUUAAUAUAGUCAAAAUAAUAAAUUUUUUCACAUGGAUUAAGAAAUGUAGUUAA